This 351-nucleotide long non-coding RNA is filed under the name Haliotis rufescens (red abalone). RNAcentral's name for it is "uncharacterized LOC125378248". Lineage: Eukaryota; Metazoa; Mollusca; Gastropoda; Lepetellida; Haliotidae. The record is from RNAcentral.
UCUUACAUUGACAGCUUGAGGCACAGGACUAAUUUCUACUGCAUUUGGCAACAUGAGUAUGAAUCACUUGAUCCACCAAGACUUGAACGAGCUGUGGAGGACAAGUAGUUGGUACCUGACAAAGGCCACUGUGAUGGGCAUUACUUGCACCGGGUACCACCUGGAAAACUCGCAGUUGUGCCCCGAAUGAUUGUGCACCGUCCUCUAAUCACUCGAACGUGAUGCCACACUUACAACUACUGUGGGACUAGGUGGUUUCAAUAUCAUACUUGUGAGGCUGACUUUCAUGAACUAUAGUGUCACGCCAUUUUUCUGUAUCAAACCAUGUAUAAUAAAAGUAUGAAAAAUCCA